UACGUAGGGUGCGAGCGUUAAUCGGAAUUACUGGGCGUAAAGCGUGCGCAGGCGGUUUGCUAAGAGAGAUGUGAAAUCCCCGGGCUCAACCCGGGAACUGCGUCCGAUACUGGAAGGCUUGAAUCCGGGAGAGGGAUGCGGAAUUCCAGGUGUAGCGGUGAAAUGCGUAGAUAUCUGGAGGAACACCGGUGGCGAAGGCGGCAUCCUGGACCGGUAUUGACGCUGAGGCGCGAAAGCCAGGGGAGCAAACGGG
This 253-nucleotide ribosomal RNA is filed under the name uncultured bacterium. RNAcentral describes it as "partial 16S ribosomal RNA". It matches the Rfam family "Bacterial small subunit ribosomal RNA", at positions 524 to 776 of the family's 1533-position model. The record is from RNAcentral.